UACAGAGGUCCCAAGCGUUGUUCGGAUUCACUGGGCGUAAAGGGUGCGUAGGCGGUCUGGUAAGUCUGACGUGAAAUCUCCGGGCCUAACCCGGAAACUGCGUCGGAUACUAUCCGGCUAGAGGAUUGGAAGGGAGACUGGAAUACUUGGUGUAGCAGUGAAAUGCGUAGAUAUCGGGAGGAACACCAGUGGCGAAGGCGAUCACCUGGGGUUGUUCUGACGCUGAGGAGCGAAAGCUAGGGGAGCAAACGGG
RNAcentral lists this ribosomal RNA (253 nucleotides) under uncultured bacterium. Its description in RNAcentral is "partial 16S ribosomal RNA". It matches the Rfam family "Bacterial small subunit ribosomal RNA", at positions 524 to 776 of the family's 1533-position model. The record is from RNAcentral.